Mustela lutreola (European mink) is the source of this 389-nucleotide long non-coding RNA. RefSeq lists it as uncharacterized. The transcript has 3 exons. The record is from RefSeq and is a predicted model, not a curated record. Lineage: Eukaryota; Metazoa; Chordata; Mammalia; Carnivora; Mustelidae.
UCCAGAGGAAGGCUGCUCUCUUUCCCCAUCACAUGUCACCAGACUCUUGCUAGACAGAAGCCUGGCCCGGAGCACUCCAUCUGCAGCCCAGAGUCGCCCGCCAGCCACCACUCUGGCUCUGGCUCUCUGGCCUGGACCUGCUUGGCUGUUCAUCAGAGGACCUGUGUUGUCUUAAACCCCCAGCCGAGCAGCAGGGUGGCUCCCCGUCUUCCUCACUCCCAUUCCUGCUCUCUGAGCCCUGCUGUGGAUGAAUGCCACCCGAAUUCAGCCAGGAUUCAGUAACAAGCACCUCUUCGGCAAAGCCCACUUCCCUCUCACGCUUGAUUCCCCGACCAUCCUUAUCAAAGACCUUCCAGGUAAACAGGCAGCCAUCCUCAGCAACGGUCAGC